Molecule: ribosomal RNA, 717 nt
Filed under: uncultured archaeon
Lineage: Archaea
Description: bacterial SSU rRNA
Rfam family: Archaeal small subunit ribosomal RNA
Source: RNAcentral
ACUGCUCAGUAACACGUGGAUAACCUGCCCUAUCGUCUGGAAUAACCUCGGGAAACUGAGAAUAAUACCGGAUAGAUCACAACGCCUGGAACGGUGUGUGGUUGAAAGAUUACGGCAUAGGAUGGGUCUGCGGCGUAUCAGGUUGUAGGGGGUGUAACGGACCUCCUAGCCAUCGACGCGUACGGGUGUUGGGAGACAUAGCCCGGAGAUGGAUUCUGAGACACGAAUCCAGACCCUACGGGGUGCAGCAGGCGCGAAAACUUCACACUGCAGGAAACUGUGAUGAGGGAACUCCAAGUGCGCGCACUUAGUGUGCGCUUUUGUUGACUAUUAAUCGGUCAAUGAAUAAGGGCUGGGAAAGACCGGUGCCAGCCGCCGCGGUAAUACCGGCAGCUCAAGUGGUCGUCGCUUUUAUUGGGCCUAAAACGUCCGUAGCCUGUUUGGUAAAUCUGUGGGUAAAUCAACCAGCUUAACUGGUUGAAUUCUGCAGAGACUGCCAGACUAGGGACCGGGAGAGGUGUGGGGUACUCUAGGGGUAGGGGUAAAAUCCUGUCAUCCUUAGAGGACCACCAGUUGCGAAGGCGCCACACUGGAACGGAUUCGACGGUCAGGGACGAAGCCUAGGGGCGCGAACCGGAUUAGAUACCCGGGUAGUCCUAGGUGUAAACGCUGUGAACUUGAUGUCGGGAGUCCGCAAUGGGCCCCCGGUGCCGGAGU